This 884-nucleotide ribosomal RNA is filed under the name Salmonella enterica. RNAcentral describes it as "partial 23S ribosomal RNA". It matches the Rfam family "Bacterial large subunit ribosomal RNA", at positions 711 to 1512 of the family's 2925-position model. RNAcentral also lists the same sequence under 2 other names. Lineage: Bacteria; Pseudomonadati; Pseudomonadota; Gammaproteobacteria; Enterobacterales; Enterobacteriaceae. The record is from RNAcentral.
AGACCCGAAACCCGGUGAUCUAGCCAUGGGCAGGUUGAAGGUUGGGUAACACUAACUGGAGGACCGAACCGACUAAUGUUGAAAAAUUAGCGGAUGACCUGUGGCUGGGGGUGAAAGGCCAAUCAAACCGGGAGAUAGCUGGUUCUCCCCGAAAGCUAUUUAGGUAGCGCCUCGUGAAUUCAUCUCCGGGGGUAGAGCACUGUUUCGGCUAGGGGGCCAUCCCGGCUUACCAACCCGAUGCAAACUGCGAAUACCGGAGAAUGUUAUCACGGGAGACACACGGCGGGUGCUAACGUCCGUCGUGAAGAGGGAAACAACCCAGACCGCCAGCUAAGGUCCCAAAGUCAUGGUUAAGUGGGAAACGAUGUGGGAAGGCCCAGACAGCCAGGAUGUUGGCUUAGAAGCAGCCAUCAUUUAAAGAAAGCGUAAUAGCUCACUGGUCGAGUCGGCCUGCGCGGAAGAUGUAACGGGGCUAAACCAUGCACCGAAGCUGCGGCAGCGAACGUAUCACCCAAGACAACUUUACGGAGUUGACGAUUGACGGAGCGAAGCGACGUCAAAGCGUUCAUUAAAGUCGAGUUGGCUUAGGGAUACGUUCGUUGGGUAGGGGAGCGUUCUGUAAGCCUGUGAAGGUGUGUCGUGAGGCAUGCUGGAGGUAUCAGAAGUGCGAAUGCUGACAUAAGUAACGAUAAAGCGGGUGAAAAGCCCGCUCGCCGGAAGACCAAGGGUUCCUGUCCAACGUUAAUCGGGGCAGGGUGAGUCGACCCCUAAGGCGAGGCCGAAAGGCGUAGUCGAUGGGAAACGGGUUAAUAUUCCCGUACUUGGUGUUACUGCGAAGGGGGGACGGAGAAGGCUAUGUUGGCCGGGCGACGGUUGUCCCGGUU